AGCAUUUGACUAACACUUAGAAGAGGGUCAUCUGCUAAAAAAUACACUCGGCGGAAAAACCCCACUGAAACUUCACGUCGCCACACUAACCUCCAAACCACCAACUGAAACCAGCCAGCACGCCACCCACCAUCGCUUCUGCUUCAUCCCACGACCCUACAGCCCAAACGACCACCAACGAGCCCCGUCUCCCUUCCGACCAGUCCAGUCGUCAACCUCCAGUCAAGGCACCAGCUUAGCCCAAAGGACCUCCAUUUCCGUCUAGCUUCGUCACUCGUCUUCACCAACAGACGACCAGCAUUCCAGC
RNAcentral lists this long non-coding RNA (307 nucleotides) under Nicotiana benthamiana. RNAcentral describes it as "long non-coding RNA (NBEN_LNC003972)". The record is from RNAcentral. Lineage: Eukaryota; Viridiplantae; Streptophyta; Magnoliopsida; Solanales; Solanaceae.